Molecule: ribosomal RNA, 198 nt
Filed under: Triticum aestivum (bread wheat)
Lineage: Eukaryota; Viridiplantae; Streptophyta; Magnoliopsida; Poales; Poaceae
Description: partial small subunit ribosomal RNA
Source: RNAcentral
AUGAAAGGAUGGAAACUAGUAUUGCUUUCCCUUGAUGGGCGGUUGGACUUGGUCAAGAGCGUCCUAUUGGUGAUGCCAGUGUUCCAAAUGAUAGAUCUUCAUCUGCCGGCAUGGCUGGCAAAAUUGAUCGACAAGGUUCGUCGUGGUUUUCUGUGGGAAGGCAGCGAAGUGGCAGCUGGAGGGAAGUGUCUUGUCAAC